RNAcentral lists this ribosomal RNA (453 nucleotides) under uncultured cyanobacterium. RNAcentral's name for it is "bacterial SSU rRNA". It matches the Rfam family "Bacterial small subunit ribosomal RNA", at positions 28 to 524 of the family's 1533-position model. Lineage: Bacteria; Bacillati; Cyanobacteriota. The record is from RNAcentral.
GAUGAACGCUGGCGGUAUGCUUAACACAUGCAAGUCGAACGGGAUUCUUCGGAAUCUAGUGGCGGACGGGUGAGUAACGCGUGAGAAUCUGCCUUCAGGUCGGGGACAACAUUUAGAAAUGGCUGCUAAUACCGGAUGUGCCGUAAGGUGAAAGAUUUAUUGCCUGAAAAAGAGCUCGCGUCAGAUUAGCUAGUAGGUGGUGUAAGAGACUACCUAGGCGACGAUCUGUAGCUGGACUGAGAGGACGAUCAGCCACACUGGAACUGAGACACGGUCCAGACUCCUACGGGAGGCAGCAGUGGGGAAUUUUCCGCAAUGGGCGAAAGCCUGACGGAGCAAUACCGCGUGAGGGACGAAGGCUUUUGGGUCGUAAACCUCUUUUAUUAGGGAAGAUUUCAGGACGGUACCUAAUGAAUAAGCAUCGGCUAGCUCUGUGCCAGCAGCCGCGGUAAU